This 305-nucleotide ribosomal RNA is filed under the name uncultured bacterium. RNAcentral describes it as "bacterial SSU rRNA". It matches the Rfam family "Bacterial small subunit ribosomal RNA", at positions 333 to 654 of the family's 1533-position model. The record is from RNAcentral.
UGUCACCUACGGGGCGCAGCAGUGGGGAAUAUUGCACAAUGGGGGAAACCCUGAUGCAGCAACGCCGCGUGAAGGAAGACGGUUUUCGGAUUGUAAACUUCUGUUCUUAGUGAAGAAGAAUGACGGUAGCUAAGGAGCAAGCCACGGCUAACUACGUGCCAGCAGCCGCGGUAAUACGUAGGUGGCAAGCGUUGUCCGGAAUUACUGGGUGUAAAGGGAGCGCAGGCGGGAAGCCAAGUACGCUGUGGAAAAUACGGGCUUAAAUUGUAGACUGCAGUUGAAACUGGUUUUCUUGAGUGAAGGAG